AGUCGAACGAGAGGACAUGGGAAGCUUGCUUCCUAUGAAAUCGAGUGGCAAACGGGUGAGUAACGCGUAAACAACCUGCCCUUCGGAUGGGGAUAACAGCCGGAAACGGCUGCUAAUACCGAAUACGAUCUUUUCGUCGCAUGACGGAAAGAAGAAAGGAUGGCCUCUAUACAAAGCUAUCGCCGAAGGAGGGGUUUGCGUCUGAUUAGCUGGUUGGAGGGGUAACGGCCCAACAAGGCGAUGAUCAGUAGCCGGUCUGAGAGGAUGAACGGCCACAUUGGGACUGAGACACGGCCCAGACUCCUACGGGAGGCAGCAGUGGGGAAUCUUCCGCAAUGGACGAAAGUCUGACGGAGCAACGCCGCGUGAGUGAAGAAGGUCUUCGGAUUGUAAAACUCUGUUAUACGGGACGAAAAAGGCGGAUGCCAACAGUAUCCGUCCGUGACGGUACCGUAAGAGAAAGCCACGGCUAACUACGUGCCAGCAGCCGCGGUAAUACGUAGGUGGCAAGCGUUGUCCGGAAUUAUUGGGCGUAAAGGGCGCGCAGGCGGUUCGGUAAGUCUGUCUUAAAAGUGCGGGGCUUAACCCCGUGAGGGGACGGAAACUGUCGAACUUGAGUGUCGGAGAGGAAAGCGGAAUUCCUAGUGUAGCGGUGAAAUGCGUAGAUAUUAGGAGGAACACCGGUGGCGAAAGCGGCUUUCUGGACGACAACUGACGC
Molecule: ribosomal RNA, 718 nt
Filed under: uncultured bacterium
Lineage: Bacteria
Description: bacterial SSU rRNA
Rfam family: Bacterial small subunit ribosomal RNA
Source: RNAcentral